This 27-nucleotide non-coding RNA is filed under the name Mus musculus (house mouse). The record is from RNAcentral. Lineage: Eukaryota; Metazoa; Chordata; Mammalia; Rodentia; Muridae.
UAGCGAGGGAUACAGGUGCAGUGUGGU